RNAcentral lists this long non-coding RNA (240 nucleotides) under Elaeis guineensis (African oil palm). Its description in RNAcentral is "long non-coding RNA (EGUI_LNC021322)". Lineage: Eukaryota; Viridiplantae; Streptophyta; Magnoliopsida; Arecales; Arecaceae. The record is from RNAcentral.
CCCAUGCCCUCUCUCUCUCUCUAAGUGUCCUCCUUUGGAUCUAGGAGAGAGGUAGGCGGCAUCCCCUUCCUUGGUGUCAUGGGUUGGCGCCAAGGAUCUUGGUUUCUUAUUCUUCCUCUCAAGUUUGUUGAGAGUUAGUUACAAUCACUUCUUAUUAGUAAUUCUUCUUGAUUAGUUGAGGGAUCAAGAAAGAUUCUUGACUUUUUUAAGAAUCAAAAAAGAAAGAUAAAAAAAAGGUUC